RNAcentral lists this ribosomal RNA (464 nucleotides) under Cladosporium sp. SmU02. RNAcentral describes it as "eukaryotic LSU rRNA". The stretch from base 120 to 273 matches the Rfam family "5.8S ribosomal RNA". Lineage: Eukaryota; Fungi; Ascomycota; Dothideomycetes; Cladosporiales; Cladosporiaceae. The record is from RNAcentral.
CCUUUGUUGUCCGACUCUGUUGCCUCCGGGGCGACCCUGCCUUCGGGCGGGGGCUCCGGGUGGACACUUCAAACUCUUGCGUAACUUUGCAGUCUGAGUAAACUUAAUUAAUAAAUUAAAACUUUUAACAACGGAUCUCUUGGUUCUGGCAUCGAUGAAGAACGCAGCGAAAUGCGAUAAGUAAUGUGAAUUGCAGAAUUCAGUGAAUCAUCGAAUCUUUGAACGCACAUUGCGCCCCCUGGUAUUCCGGGGGGCAUGCCUGUUCGAGCGUCAUUUCACCACUCAAGCCUCGCUUGGUAUUGGGCAACGCGGUCCGCCGCGUGCCUCAAAUCGACCGGCUGGGUCUUCUGUCCCCUAAGCGUUGUGGAAACUAUUCGCUAAAGGGUGUUCGGGAGGCUACGCCGUAAAACAAACCCAUUUCUAAGGUUGACCUCGGAUCAGGUAGGGAUACCCGCUGAACUUAA